RNAcentral lists this long non-coding RNA (177 nucleotides) under Haliotis rubra (blacklip abalone). RNAcentral's name for it is "uncharacterized LOC124280520, transcript variant X2". The record is from RNAcentral. Lineage: Eukaryota; Metazoa; Mollusca; Gastropoda; Lepetellida; Haliotidae.
UCCCAUUGUAUAUGUGGAACAGAGAUGGGUGGUGCUAUUGUAUAGAGAUGGUCCUAUUGUGUGUGUGGAACAGAGAUGGGUGGUCCUAUUGUAUAGGUGGAACAGAGAUGGGUGGUCCUAUUGUAUAGGUGGAACAGAGAUGGGUGGUCUUAUUCUAUAGAGAUGGUCCUAUUGCAU